This 687-nucleotide ribosomal RNA is filed under the name uncultured bacterium. RNAcentral's name for it is "bacterial SSU rRNA". It matches the Rfam family "Bacterial small subunit ribosomal RNA", at positions 141 to 844 of the family's 1533-position model. The record is from RNAcentral.
GGAUAACAGUUAGAAAUGACUGCUAAUACCGCAUAAGCGCACAAAACCGCAUGGUUUGGUGUGAAAAACUGAGGUGGUAUGAGAUGGACCCGCGUCUGAUUAGCUAGUUGGAGAGGUAACGGCUCACCAAGGCAACGAUCAGUAGCCGACCUGAGAGGGUGACCGGCCACAUUGGGACUGAGACACGGCCCAAACUCCUACGGGAGGCAGCAGUGGGGAAUAUUGCACAAUGGGGGAAACCCUGAUGCAGCAACGCCGCGUGAGUGAAGAAGUAUUUCGGUAUGUAAAGCUCUAUCAGCAGGGAAGAAGAGAGACGGUACCUGACUAAGAAGCCCCGGCUAACUACGUGCCAGCAGCCGCGGUAAUACGUAGGGGGCAAGCGUUAUCCGGAUUUACUGGGUGUAAAGGGAGCGUAGACGGCUUAAUAAGUCUGAAGUGAAAGGCCAAGGCUUAACCAUGGAACUGCUUUGGAAACUAUGAGGCUAGAGUGCUGGAGAGGUAAGCGGAAUUCCUAGUGUAGCGGUGAAAUGCGUAGAUAUUAGGAGGAACACCAGUGGCGAAGGCGGCUUACUGGACAGAAACUGACGUUGAGGCUCGAAAGCGUGGGGAGCAAACAGGAUUAGAUACCCUGGUAGUCCACGCGGUAAACGAUGAAUGCUAGGUGUUGGUGGGCAAAGCCCAUUCGGU